This is a long non-coding RNA of Leguminivora glycinivorella, 2037 nucleotides long. RefSeq lists it as uncharacterized. Lineage: Eukaryota; Metazoa; Arthropoda; Insecta; Lepidoptera; Tortricidae. The record is from RefSeq and is a predicted model, not a curated record. The transcript has 2 exons.
GAGAUUUUUUGAACUUUUAUCUCAAAACAACGUGUACUUUUCUAUACUAAGAACAACUGCAUUCAUAGUUAAAAAAAAAGAAAAAAUGGAAAUAAGCCCUUUUGAAAAGACACUCCUCACUUAUCAUUUUUAUGUGGAACUCUUAUAGCUGUUGGUGGUGGUAGCAAUUGAAUAAACUUAGUCGCACGAAUCCGGCUGACGAAUAGACUGCCAUUUUUGUAUUAAUUAAAUAAUUCACAGAUACAAAUCCAGAAUAAAUAUUCUCUAUAUUUAUGUAUUCCUACUCUCUGUUCCUAUGUAGUCAAACAGUAUAAAUGUAAAUGCUUUGGAACUUUAAUCAGAUGGUUGUUGUAACUUGACGUAAUUUUCUGUGAUAUAUUCAUACAAUUCCACAUUGAUCUGUUCAAAUAAUUAAUGAAUACUUAUGCAUUAAUUUAACAAUAAGCAAGUUCUAAAUGUAUUUGUGUCAAAAAGUAUGACCAAGCAUAUUUUGCAUUUUUUAAUUCGAAUCAAGCACCCGGCUUAGCGCAUGAUUGGCACAAGAUUAUGUCGCCGCGACAUAAGACUACUCGUAAAAAACGUGUGAUGUAGUAGCAGCGAUACAUUGUCGCGCCAAUCGCAUGCUAGCUAUGCCGGGAUUUCUAAUUAAAUAGUUGUAGGUUUAUUAUGGCUGUGUAAAGGAUUAGAAUCAGAAUAUUGAUGUUGUUGAUUCCUAUCUUAUCUAAUACUACCUAGCCUAGACGAUAGUAGUAUUCUUUAAUGCAUCCUCUAUUGGCAAUGUGUUGUACUAGUGGAAUAUGUGUGUAACGUCGAAUGUGUCAGAACGUUAGAUUUACUAGUAAAUUAAUUUCAACCACACUAGUUUUUCUUGUAACUAUUACCACUGUUACUGUCACUUAUCCCGUAUAAUAUAAUAGGUUAGUUAUUUGAUGAGUAAAUGCAGUCGCUGUAAAAGAAUUGUGACUGUUAUCAAAUUACCUGACGGUUUUGCAUAACUUGCGUUCUCGCGCGUGAGUCUAUACCUCAAGUCGCGCUAUUAGAUGUAUCGAUAUACUAUACAGUGAAGGGUAACUUAAGGGUAACUUCGAGUAUAUAUUAUACGAAAAGUAAAACGACUAAUAUCAUAAAAAGAAGCCGUCUUUCUGUCCCCCGCGGCUCGAUUUCGACGAAGCAUGACGUCAUUACCGGCCUCAAAUGUGGUUCCAAUAAACGAAACAAAUUCUUUUAGUCACAAAUAGCCCACACUCCUAAGAUUUUCACCACAGCAUACCCAUUACAUGCUUACCUCUCCUCAGUAUCUUAUUACGUGAAAAUUUGGCAUAAAAUCAUAAUACCAACCGAAACUUUUGUUAAAUUUUCACUUUUAACGAGCCAACUAUCGAGGUUUAUAAGAAUGGAACAUUUGUUGAGUCGCUCAUCCGUCGUGCAGACGCGACAGGAUGCCCGCUUUCGAGGGCAUCCAUGCGUGCGUAUAAUAGAAGGAAGGUAAUAUGAUCGUCCUGUAGGCAGGGCCGUUUAUAAUUGCUAUACUAGGAGCAUAAUAGUGUAGUUCCUUUUAAAUAAAAAUAAAUCCUAUUCCUGUUGUCACUUGGAACUUUGCUAUAUAGAUAAAGUAAACGUAGGAGGAGGGCAAUGCAAACGUAGAUUAUGAUUUACAAAAAAUAUACCUUUACUUCGCUUGUAAGUUCGAAUAUGCGUAACAAAAUAACAUUGAGAGUUUGAAUCGGCAUCUUUACCUUUCAAUUUAAAGAAAAUAAUUUAGAUCAUCUCAACAUUAGAAUUCACGUUAAGAAUUAUUACUUACUCUUCAGAUAACUAGCCUAUUUUGAUAAUACCCAUACUUGUAUUUAGUUGAGAUGCAAAUGUUAUAGUAAACCCGAACUUAUCUUGUGAGUGCGUUGUGUAGAGCGCUAUGAAAGUCGUCCAACACUAGUAUACAUACAUUGUACAAGCUACUACUCGACUUAUGGUUGUAAGUGUAGACUGCCUUUGUUAUUCUGAGCUUGUGGAUGUAAUAAAUGAUGUGUUAACAAACUA